Molecule: ribosomal RNA, 465 nt
Filed under: uncultured bacterium
Lineage: Bacteria
Description: bacterial SSU rRNA
Rfam family: Bacterial small subunit ribosomal RNA
Source: RNAcentral
CCUACGGGUCGCACCAGUGGGGAAUAUUGCACAAUGGGCGCAAGCCUGAUGCAGCCAUGCCGCGUGUAUGAAGAAGGCCUUCGGGUUGUAAAGUACUUUCAGCGGGGAGGAAGGUGUUGUGGUUAAUAACCGCAGCAAUUGACGUUACCCGCAGAAGAAGCACCGGCUAACUCCGUGCCAGCAGCCGCAGUAAUACGGAGGGUGCAAGCGUUAAUCGGAAUUACCGGGCGUAAUGCGCACGCGGGCGGUCUGUCAAGUCGGAUGUGAAAUCCCCGGGCUCAACCUGGGAACUGCAUUCGAAACUGGCAGGCUAGAGUCUUGUAGAGGGGGGUAGAAUUCCAGGUGUAGCGGUGAAAUGCGUAGAGAUCUGGAGGAAUACCGGUGGCGAAGGCGGCCCCCUGGACAAAGACUGACGCUCAGGUGCGAAAGCGUGGGGAGCAAACAGGAUUAGAUACCCCCGUAGUC